This 465-nucleotide ribosomal RNA is filed under the name Vreelandella stevensii. RNAcentral's name for it is "partial 16S ribosomal RNA". It matches the Rfam family "Bacterial small subunit ribosomal RNA", at positions 338 to 795 of the family's 1533-position model. Lineage: Bacteria; Pseudomonadati; Pseudomonadota; Gammaproteobacteria; Oceanospirillales; Halomonadaceae. The record is from RNAcentral.
CCUACGGGGUGCUGCAGUGGGGAAUAUUGGACAUUGGGCGAAAGCCUGAUCCAGCCAUGCCGCGUGUGUGAAGAAGGCCUUCGGGUUGUAAAGCACUUUCAGUGGGGAAGAAAGCCUUGGGGCUAAUACCCUCGAGGAAGGACAUCACCCACAGAAGAAGCACCGGCUAACUCCGUGCCAGCAGCCGCGGUAAUACGGAGGGUGCGAGCGUUAAUCGGAAUUACUGGGCGUAAAGCGCGCGUAGGCGGUCUGAUAAGCCGGUUGUGAAAGCCCCGGGCUCAACCUGGGAACGGCAUCCGGAACUGUCAGGCUAGAGUGCAGGAGAGGAAGGUAGAAUUCCCGGUGUAGCGGUGAAAUGCGUAGAGAUCGGGAGGAAUACCAGUGGCGAAGGCGGCCUUCUGGACUGACACUGACGCUGAGGUGCGAAAGCGUGGGUAGCAAACAGGAUUAGAUACCCGAGUAGUC